RNAcentral lists this ribosomal RNA (253 nucleotides) under uncultured bacterium. Its description in RNAcentral is "partial 16S ribosomal RNA". It matches the Rfam family "Bacterial small subunit ribosomal RNA", at positions 524 to 776 of the family's 1533-position model. The record is from RNAcentral.
CACGUAGGGGACGAGCGUUGUCCGGAUUCAUUGGGCGUAAAGCGCGCGUAGGCGGCUCGGCAAGUCGGUCGUGAAAUGCCGGGGCUCAACCCCGGGACUGCGUCCGAUACUCCCGAGCUGGAGGCAGGUAGGGGAGAUCGGAAUUCCUGGUGUAGCGGUGAAAUGCGCAGAUAUCAGGAGGAACACCGGUGGCGAAGGCGGAUCUCUGGGCCUUGCCUGACGCUGAGGCGCGAAAGCGUGAGGAGCAAACAGG